UACGUAGGCAGCGAGCGUUGUUCGGAGUUACUGGGCGUAAAGCGUGCGUAGGCGGUGGACCAAGUCUGGUGUGAAAUCUCCCGGCUCAACUGGGAGGGUGCGCCGGAAACUGGUUUGCUGGAGUACCGGAGAGGCAGGCGGAAUUCCAGGUGUAGCGGUGAAAUGCGUAGAUAUCUGGAGGAACACCCGUGGUGCAGACGGCCUGCUGGACGGUGACUGACGCUGAGGCACGAAAGCGUGGGUAGCAAACAGG
This 253-nucleotide ribosomal RNA is filed under the name uncultured bacterium. RNAcentral describes it as "partial 16S ribosomal RNA". It matches the Rfam family "Bacterial small subunit ribosomal RNA", at positions 524 to 776 of the family's 1533-position model. The record is from RNAcentral.